Molecule: ribosomal RNA, 445 nt
Filed under: uncultured bacterium
Lineage: Bacteria
Description: partial 16S ribosomal RNA
Rfam family: Bacterial small subunit ribosomal RNA
Source: RNAcentral
UCCAGACUCCUACGGGAGGCAGCAGUGGGGAAUAUUGCACAAUGGGGGAAACCCUGAUGCAGCGACGCCGCGUGAGCGAAGAAGUAUUUCGGUAUGUAAAGCUCUAUCAGCAGGGAAGAAAUUGACGGUACCUGAGUAAGAAGCUCCGGCUAAAUACGUGCCAGCAGCCGCGGUAAUACGUAUGGAGCAAGCGUUAUCCGGAUUUACUGGGGGUAAAGGGAGCGUAGGCGGCCGGCCAAGUCUGAUGUGAAAUUCCGGGGCUCAACCCCGGGGCUGCAUUGGAAACUGGCAGGCUGGAGUGUCGGAGAGGCAGGCGGAAUUCCUAGUGUAGCGGUGAAAUGCGUAGAUAUUAGGAGGAACACCAGUGGCGAAGGCGGCCUGCUGGACGAUGACUGACGCUGAGGCUCGAAAGCGUGGGGAGCAAACAGGAUUAGAUCCCCGCGUA